UGGGAGGCAACUAAAGCAGUGUUAAGAGUUUCUCCACAGACACUACCCAAAGCAGUGCUUCACUACAGUGGCAGACAGACCUGAAAAUUUUCAUCUGAAGCAGCAGAGUGAACUGCAGAGGCAGGUCACCAACCAGUGUGGAGGCUAAAAGCGGGCCUCUUUGGGGAUUCCAGGUGGAAGUGUUGGACAUCUGUAGUAUUCCUGGUCUCGAAUCAUCCUGAUAUUCUUCAUUUUGUUAUUCACAUUGGACUAGGAGAUAGAAUCUCACUAUGUUGACCAGGCUGGUCUUGAACUCUUGGCACCCAAGCGAUCCUUUUGCCUGGAAUCCCAAAGUGUCAGAUUUACUGAAGAAUAUUUCAUUGUAAUUACUUUUUAUACUUUAUAGGUCAAGAGCUCUGUUUUAAAUACAAAAUUUAUUGAAUAUACUUUUUCAAACAAAGUUUCAUGUUCUAAUCAUUGUCUGAUUUCAGCAUUAAAUGAAACACAGUAAAGAAAGUUGGGCUGAUGUUGUUGUUGGUGGUUGUUUUUGUAUUCUGAUUACAGAACUGUAUUUUGAGUGGGCUGAACAUAGAGUAAAUGCAUCCUCAGCUGCU
RNAcentral lists this long non-coding RNA (593 nucleotides) under Homo sapiens (human). RNAcentral describes it as "non-protein coding lnc-ANKRD36B-3:8". Lineage: Eukaryota; Metazoa; Chordata; Mammalia; Primates; Hominidae. The record is from RNAcentral.